UACGUAGGGUGCGAGCGUUAAUCGGAAUUACUGGGCGUAAAGCGUGCGCAGGCGGUUAUGUAAGACAGAGGUGAAAUCCCCGGGCUCAACCUGGGAACGGCCUUUGUGACUGCAUAGCUAGAGUACGGUAGAGGGGGAUGGAAUUCCGCGUGUAGCAGUGAAAUGCGUAGAUAUGCGGAGGAACACCGAUGGCGAAGGCAAUCCCCUGGACCUGUACUGACGCUCAUGCACGAAAGCGUGGGGAGCAAACAGG
Molecule: ribosomal RNA, 253 nt
Filed under: uncultured bacterium
Lineage: Bacteria
Description: partial 16S ribosomal RNA
Rfam family: Bacterial small subunit ribosomal RNA
Source: RNAcentral